UUGUCCUACGGGGGGCAGCAGUGAGGAAUAUUGGUCAAUGGGCGCAAGCCUGAACCAGCCAAGUCGCGUGAGGGAAGACGGUCCUAUGGAUUGUAAACCUCUUUUGCCGGGGAGCAAUGCAGGCCUUGCGAGGCCUGAGGGAGAGUACCCGGAGAAAAAGCAUCGGCUAACUCCGUGCCAGCAGCCGCGGUAAUACGGAGGAUGCGAGCGUUAUCCGGAUUUAUUGGGUUUAAAGGGUGCGUAGGCGGGCUGUUAAGUCAGCGGUCAAAUGUCGGGGCUCAACCCCGGCCUGCCGUUGAAACUGG
This 305-nucleotide ribosomal RNA is filed under the name uncultured bacterium. Its description in RNAcentral is "bacterial SSU rRNA". It matches the Rfam family "Bacterial small subunit ribosomal RNA", at positions 334 to 636 of the family's 1533-position model. The record is from RNAcentral.